GUAGGUGGCAAGCGUUAUCCGGAAUUAUUGGGCGUAAAGCGCGCGUAGGCGGUUUUUUAAGUCUGAUGUGAAAGCCCACGGCUCAACCGUGGAGGGUCAUUGGAAACUGGAAAACUUGAGUGCAGAAGAGGAAAGUGGAAUUCCAUGUGUAGCGGUGAAAUGCGCAGAGAUAUGGAGGAACACCAGUGGCGAAGGCGACUUUCUGGUCUGUAACUGACGCUGAUGUGCGAAAGCGUGGGGAUCAAACAGGAUUAGAUACCCUGGUAGUCCACGCCGUAAACGAUGAGUGCUAAGUGUUAGGGGGUUUUCCGCCCCCCUUAGUGCUGCAGCUAACGCAUUAAGCACUCCGCCUGGGAGUACGACCGCAAGGUUG
Molecule: ribosomal RNA, 373 nt
Filed under: uncultured organism
Description: partial 16S ribosomal RNA
Rfam family: Bacterial small subunit ribosomal RNA
Source: RNAcentral